RNAcentral lists this ribosomal RNA (254 nucleotides) under uncultured bacterium. RNAcentral's name for it is "partial 16S ribosomal RNA". It matches the Rfam family "Bacterial small subunit ribosomal RNA", at positions 524 to 776 of the family's 1533-position model. The record is from RNAcentral.
UACAGAGGGUGCAAGCGUUGUUCGGAAUUAUUGGGCGUAAAGCGCGUGUAGGCGGCUUUGCAAGUCGGGUGUGAAAUCCCUCGGCUCAACCGAGGAAGUGCGCCCGAAACUGCAGAGCUUGAGUACCGGAGAGGAUGGCGGAAUUCCCCAAGUAGAGGUGAAAUUCGUAGAUAUCGAGAGGAACACCGGUGGCGAAGGCGGCCAACUGGACGAGUACUGACGCUGGAGACACGAAAGCGUGGGGAGCAAACAGG